This 264-nucleotide ribosomal RNA is filed under the name uncultured bacterium. Its description in RNAcentral is "partial 16S ribosomal RNA". It matches the Rfam family "Bacterial small subunit ribosomal RNA", at positions 57 to 305 of the family's 1533-position model. The record is from RNAcentral.
GCAAGUCGAACGAGAAGCUUACCAUUGAUCCUUCGGGAGAUUUGUUAAGUAGAAAGUGGCGAAAGGGUGAGUAACGCGUGAGCAACCUGCCUCUAUGUCGGGGACAACAGUUGGAAACGACUGCUAAUACCGGAUGUGGCUAUAAUAUCGCAUGUUUUUAUAGCUAAGAUUUAUUGCAUAGAGAUGGGCUCGCGUACCAUUAGCUAGUUGGUGAGGUAACGGCUCACCAAGGCGACGAUGGUUAGGUGGUCUGAGAGGACGAUC